Molecule: transfer RNA, 98 nt
Filed under: Candidatus Eiseniibacteriota bacterium
Lineage: Bacteria; Candidatus Eiseniibacteriota
Description: tRNA-Sec
Rfam family: Selenocysteine transfer RNA
Source: RNAcentral
GGGAACGAAUGGGUCCUGGUGGACUCCGGGGACUUCAAAUCCUGCGGUCGGGCGCUUCGCGCGUCCGAGGUGGGUUCGAUUCCCACGCGUUCCCGCCA